AUUGAACGCUGGCGGCAUGCUUUACACAUGCAAGUCGAACGGCAGCACGGACUUCGGUCUGGUGGCGAGUGGCGAACGGGUGAGUAAUACAUCGGAACGUACCCAGUAAUGGGGGAUAACUAGUCGAAAGAUUAGCUAAUACCGCCAACGCCCUACGGGGGAAAGAGGGGGAUCGCAAGACCUCUUGUUAUUGGAGCGGACGAUGGCUGAUUAGCUAGUUGGUGGGGUAAAGGCCUACCAAGGCGACGAUCAGUAGCGGGUCUUAGAGGACGAUCCGCCACACUGGAACUGAGACGCGGUCCAGACUCCUACGGGAGGCAGCAGUGGGGAAUCGUGGACAAUGGGCGAAAGCCUGAUCCAGCAAUGCCGCGUGCGUGAAGAAGGCCUUCGGGUUGUAAAGCGCUUUUGUCUGGGAGCAAAUCCUUGUGGCUAAUACCCACCGGGGAUGAGAGUACCAGAAGAAUAAGGACCGGCUAACUACGUGCCAGCCGCCGCCGUAA
RNAcentral lists this ribosomal RNA (500 nucleotides) under uncultured bacterium. RNAcentral's name for it is "partial 16S ribosomal RNA". It matches the Rfam family "Bacterial small subunit ribosomal RNA", at positions 30 to 523 of the family's 1533-position model. The record is from RNAcentral.